GAGUUUGAUCCUGGUUCAGGAUGAACGCUAGCGAUAGGCUUAACACAUGCAAGUCGAGGGGCAGCACUGGUUAUCGGCAACGGUAUCCUGGUGGCGACCGGCGCACGGGUGAGUAACACGUAUGCAACCUACCCUUAACCGGGGGAUAACCCGGGGAAAUCCGGGCUAAUACCCCAUGAGACGGCAUCAUCGCCUGAUGUUACCGUUAAAGAUUGAUCGGUUUUGGAUGGGCAUGCGUUCCAUUAGCUCGUUGGUGGGGUAACGGCCCACCAAGGCCACGAUGGAUAGGGGAACUGAGAGGUUCAUCCCCCACACUGGAACUGAGACACGGUCCAGACUCCUACGGGAGGCAGCAGUGAGGAAUCUUGGUCAAUGGAGGCAACUCUGAACCAGCCACGUCGCGUGAAGGAGGAAGGCCUUACGGGUCGUAAACUUCUUUUUCGGGGGAAUAAACGGGGUCACGCGUGGCCCCCUGCAUGUACCCCGCGAACAAGGAUCGGCUAACUCCGUGCCAGCAGCCGCGGUAAUACGGAGGAUCCGAGCGUUAUC
Molecule: ribosomal RNA, 549 nt
Filed under: uncultured Porphyromonadaceae bacterium
Lineage: Bacteria; Pseudomonadati; Bacteroidota; Bacteroidia; Bacteroidales; Porphyromonadaceae
Description: bacterial SSU rRNA
Rfam family: Bacterial small subunit ribosomal RNA
Source: RNAcentral